Molecule: ribosomal RNA, 253 nt
Filed under: uncultured bacterium
Lineage: Bacteria
Description: partial 16S ribosomal RNA
Rfam family: Bacterial small subunit ribosomal RNA
Source: RNAcentral
UACGUAGGGGGUAAGCGUUGUCCGGAAUCAUUGGGCGUAAAGCGCGCGUAGGCGGCCCGGUAAGUCCGCUCUGAAAGUCCAGGGCUCAACCCUGGAAAGCGGGUGGAUACUGCCGGGCUAGAAUCCGGAAGAGGCGAGUGGAAUUCCCGGUGUAGCGGUGAAAUGCGCAGAUAUCGGGAAGAACACCCGUGGCGAAGGCGGUUCUCUGGGACGGUACUGACGCUGAGACGCGAAAGCGUGGGGAGCGAACAGG